Molecule: long non-coding RNA, 808 nt
Filed under: Monodelphis domestica (gray short-tailed opossum)
Lineage: Eukaryota; Metazoa; Chordata; Mammalia; Didelphimorphia; Didelphidae
Description: lncRNA (ENSMODG00000033714.2)
Source: RNAcentral
CUCUCCCCUGCUCCCCUUCCAUCUAAAACACCUGUGACUGGGUGGUAGAUUAUUCCAGCCCAGGUCAGAAGAGAUAAGGGGAGCAACUGAGUUGUUUAUUGUCCUUUGUAUCUUCCAGGAGUCCUCAACCAACAAAAGAUAAGGAAACCGAGGCUCAGAAAGAUGACAUCCCUUGUCUACAAGCGACACUGUAUACUGGCUGGAUCAACUGAGAACGAACUCCAAGGUUCAUGGAACUGUCUUCAGCCAUGUUGCCAUCUAAGAAAGCAAAGAAUAUUAAAUGUGUCCUUUGUACAAUGAAAGUGAUGCUCAUUACUCCAUUGAGCCAACUGUAACUGUUCUGUGACCUGAGAAUUUUCCUUCUAUUUAGUUUCACUAAAAGCACUAUCUCUAGAGCUUGGAUUCCAUUAUUUACUUCUUUUGUCACUACUUAUGAGAAGCAUUCUCCUUUUCUUUUUUAGAUUCUGGCCCCUGAUGUGUUUUGAAAGUAACCACAUCUCCAUUUGAUUGUCUUACUUCCAAUAGAACAUAGACUUAGCUCUUUUGCCUUCCCCAGAUAGGUAUUAUUUUCCAAAACUUAUCAGGUUUUUUUUUUUUCCUGUGACCUCUGUACAACUGGUAUUUGCCAAAUCACUGGCAUGUAGAUGACAGCAUGAUUCCAUUGUUGACCUAACCAGUAGCUAGCACUGCUGAAUAAUUGCUCUGCUUGUUUUACAUGAUACAUCUAUUAAUGCAAUCCAAUAUAGCAUUUGCCUUUUGGUGACAGUGUAGUACUGUUGAAUCAUAUUUAAUUUUUCAUCCAUUAUUC